UAUAUUAUUUAUUGUGUUCAAUUCUAUUUGGAUUUUGUGCUUAUAUUUGGAGUUAUAUUUGGGUAAGAGUUUAGUGAUUAGAGUUUAGUCUUAACUUACGCUAAGAACCCCACUUUAAGAGCCCCGGGUUAAUCAUGCUCUUAGUAUUUAGAAGGUGAAGGAGUAUGGUUGAGGUCGGCAAUAACUUCUUUCACGCAAUUAUAGAUAUUUUAUAAUUUCACAAAUAUGUAUUAUGUUAUUUAUUUUGUUCAACAAUUUCUCUAUUUCAUGUGUCUCGUGUAGAAUAG
RNAcentral lists this long non-coding RNA (287 nucleotides) under Brassica napus (rape). RNAcentral's name for it is "long non-coding RNA (BNAP_LNC010451)". Lineage: Eukaryota; Viridiplantae; Streptophyta; Magnoliopsida; Brassicales; Brassicaceae. The record is from RNAcentral.